Molecule: long non-coding RNA, 6557 nt
Filed under: Mizuhopecten yessoensis (Yesso scallop)
Lineage: Eukaryota; Metazoa; Mollusca; Bivalvia; Pectinida; Pectinidae
Description: uncharacterized LOC110450893
Source: RNAcentral
UCAUAUAUAGUAAGAAAUACGAAGAGUUGAGCGAGAAGCGUGUGGGGUUGGAGGAUAUAAUGAGGGUAUGAGAUAACUUGUGGUAACCAGUCUGGAGCAAGGUGCCCGGCCAGAUUGCCAACUGGUUGGUCGGGGAGGGGGAGGCCGGAGGGGAGGAGACACUAUUGCAUCUCAGCAGGGAAGGAAUAUGAACCAGGAAUGGAACUACAUGUACGUCUAGCCGAAAUAGAACCAUAUAUGGUCAUGUCUUUACGUAAAACACGUAUUGCAGAAAUGGCGUCACCGGGUCACCGGCUACAGACGAGAGGGUGUCAUUUACUAUGUAAAUGAUACUAAAAUGGAUGGGAAGCUGUAAUUAGAACACCAGGCUUAUGCUGUUGAUAACACUAAAAGGUCUAUCAGUUGACUUUCUGACGUCUUACCAAACUAUCCAUCAAUCCAAAAAUACGAUAGCACAGCAAGACAAGCGACAUAAAUACACUUUCACCAUCGGAGAGUUCAAAAGUUUCUUUGUCAUACGAGUUUGAGUAUGAUCAACACUUUCAACGAAAUGUGUGAUACACACCAAAACGUGUCUGAAGUUAGACUGGUACCAUGCUGUUACAAACGUUAUAAAUGAAAAGGAUUUCCAAACUACGAGAACAAACCAUCAUCACCAAGAAGAAAGGUUUUCAACCAACAACAAAAUAAUAUUGAAGUGCACGAACCUCAUGCUUCUGGAAUCUGUUGCCGAAAGGUGGAUGAACUGAACGAGUUCCAAUACGCAAAGAUGGAAUAGCUGUGAAUGAGAUAAAGUAUGAGAAUAAGAACAUCUGUCUAUGAGAAUAUGAAUAAUCGAGUGUGUAUACAAAUGUGAAAGUACGUUCGUAUGAAUUCUUGUGUGAAUAUGUAUUGUUAUGUGUGUGUACAAGAUUAAAAGUGUGUAAAGAUAUUGUAUAUAUGUAAGUCUAAAUGGAAAAAACUUGUAUAUAGUUGUUAGUUUUAAUGGAAUUGAAAGAAUUAUUGAUCUUUUGUAAAUAUGUUAAAGGAGGACCUCGAUAGCCCGAAAACUUCCUCCUCUUUUAGAAACCAAUGUUUUGUUUAAGUACAUUUCGCAUGUAUCCAACAUAUUGGUUUUAAAGCGAGUUGUGCAGAAUAAGUGGUUGGUCGGAUUAAUGAGGUUCUGCUUUGCAUGUAUGUAAUAUUGAUAUGUAUCUACUGGCUCGGAAAUAGACCAACAGUAAUUGGAUGAUCAUCCCGGUGAACUUGUACAUAAAAAGACCCGUGUGUCUCAUAACUAUGCAAACUAAUGUAGCAUUGUAAAAUAUGCUCAGACAAAUAGUCAAGCUGUACUACGCAUGCUGCUUAUUAUCCACCCACCAUACGCCUUAUUUACUAAUUAAACAACAUUCACUUUCUAAUCUGGAAAAAUAUCCGCUGUGUUUUUAUAGUUGAUAUAUAAUAAUCUAUUAGGAAACAUUCAUAUCUAUAAUUUAAUCGACCAAUAAGCCUGAUGCUAUUUUCUUGUGCCAAGUUUUUUUUUUUUUUGUGAUAAUUGACUAUUAUAAGAAAGGAUAUAAACAUACUCGUGCGUGUAGCUUUAUUUUAGUUUUGUUCGUCUUGAUAAUGAUUUGCAUUUGAAAUAGGAACUCUUUUCUUUUACAAAUUUAUUUUGCAUAAUAUUUAUGCUAAGUCGUCUUAAGUGUAUACGUUUUAGCUGGAGUGUAGUGGUGUAAUAUAUCACUACUUAGUGCAGAGGGCAGAAGACAAUAUACGAUAUAGUACAUUAAAUUUCUAUAAAUAGAUAGAAACCGUUAAUUCUAAUUUAUGUUUAUAUAUCAUGAGUAAAUUGUCAGCGUUUUGCAAAUAUAGAAGUGAUACGGUUUUGGUCAAUGAUUAUUUAUAAUUUGGCAUUACAUCUUUUAUAUUUGCAGAGAGUUUUGGGUGAAUCUGGGGCCUUAUAAAGACACAUUCCCCUUGAUAUUUUCUAAUUGCAAAAUUCACUCUAUUUUCCCGAAAUCAUGUUUUUGUGUGUGAUAUUUCACAAAGCUACAAGGAACAGGCUUCUGUCUAAGAGAGGUAGAAACCUCACUGAUAUGUACUUUAAUAAAUUAUUGAUACACCUAUCUAUUCAACAUUACUAAACCUACGUAUGGAUAUUCAUAAGAAUAUUUUUCACGGUACUAUAUGUGAUUGUCUUCUGUCCCCUCUCGCCUCCUUUCAUAUCGCUUGAUAUGGCUGUAUAGAACAUUAACGUUAUUUCAAACGUUGUUGCAUCUCAGGGGAAUGGCUUAAUCUGUUCUUUGGACAAUUACCAUUCACGGAUGAAUUAUUUCAACCCGGUUAUUUUUAUUUGUGCCAUUUUACCAUAACAUGCCAUAUAUUGAUAUGCUUUUUGUAAUCAGGUAAAUUGGAGAGAGCGAGAGAGAUGUUAUGAAAGUGCGAUUAUCUGAAUUGUAUUUAGUGUGUGAUGUUGUAGUAUAUGAAUGGUGUAUAUAAUUAUUGAAAGAUUAUAGUUUUUGUGAUAAAUCUGUGUAUGGAACACUUGUCCCUUACUUCUGUGAACUAAAUGGACAAUUGCGUAUUUUUGUUGAACACAUAUGGCUACUCUUUAAAUUACAAGAUAAAGUAUGUGAUAACAGAUUGAUAUAUAAAUAUAUUUUUCAUUUUGAUACUCGUAGCAGUGGCCUAGUAAUAUAAUGUAUUUAUAUAAGGACAUGAAUGUGUUUAGUUGAUGUAUGUAGAAGCUGCUUUUCGGAAAGGAAUUAAGACCCAAAUGCUAAGGUGUUAGUGUGGGUUAAUAUAACAAUUACGCACAGUUUUAAUGUGGGUUACUAUUAAGAUGAAACGUACCAAAACAAAUAUGCAAGGCUUCAGAAGAUCUAGUUACAACAACAUGACAUAGAGACAAAUGAAGGUCUUCCAUGUUAAUAUGUAUACUACUCUUUGUUUUGUCUGUGGUGAGACAUCAUGUGACAUGCAAGUUGGAAUGAUUAGAUCGAUAGACUUCGACUAGAUAAAUCCACCCGGGGAUAUUGUGUGACGUAAUAAAUCCGUGUGAGUUGUUUGAUGUGAAUAUAUGCCUGUGAGUUACUACUGUAAAACAUCCCGGUGAAUAGUGUGACGUGUAUAAAUCCCCGUGAAUUGUGUGAUGUGAAUGAAUCCCCGUGAAUUGUGUGGUGUGAAUGAAAGCCUGUGAGUUACUACUGUAAAACAUCCCGGUGUAUUGUGUGACGUGAAUAAAUCCCCGUGAAUUGUGCGAUGUGAAUAAACCCCCGUGAAUUGUGUGAUGUGAAUAAAUCCUCGUGAAAUAUUAUGUGAUGUGAAAUGAGAAAGAAUGCAUUAAUGAUGCUACCCGGUGAUAAUGCGAAAUGUGAAAGAAAACAUUAAUGAUACUUCCCGGUGAUCAUGUGAGACGCGAGAGAAAGCAUUAUUGAUGCUACCCGGUGAUAAUGCGAAAUGUGAAAGAAUACAUAAAUGAUGCUACCCGGUGAUAAUGUGAGAUGAGAAAGAAUACAUAAAUGAUGCUACCCGUCAAAAUGUUCGAUGUGAAAGAAUACAUAAAUGAUGCUUCCCGGUGAUGAUGUGAGAUGAGAAAGAAUACAUAAAUGAUGCUUCCCAGUGAUAAUGUGAUAUGGGAAAGAAUACAUAAAUGAUGCUACCCGGUGAUAAUGUGAUAUGGGAAAGAAUACAUAAAUGAUGCUACCCGGUGAUGAUGAGAGAUGUGAAAAGUACAUAAAUGAUGCUACUCGGUGAUAAUGUAAAAUGAGAAAGAGUACAUAAAUGAUGCUACCCGGUGAUAAUGUUAGAUAUGUAAAAAUACAUAAAUGAUGCUACCCGGUGAUGAUGUGAGAUGUGAAAGAAUAGAUAAAUGAUGCUAAACGGUGAUCAUGUAAGUUGUGAGAGAAUACAUUAAUGAUGCUACCCGGUGAUAAUGUGAGUUGUGGGAGAAUGCUUUAAUGAUGCUACCCGGUGAUGAUGUGAGAUGAGAAAGAAUUCAUAAAUUAUGCUACCCGGUGAUAAUGUAAGAUGUGAGAGAAUGCAUAAAUGAUGCUACCUGGUGAUAAUGUGAGUUGUGAGAGAAUGCAUAAAUUAUGCUACCCGGUGAUGAUGUUAGAUGAGAAAGAAUACAUUAAUGAUGCUACCCGGUGAUAAUGUGAGUUGUAAAAAAAUACAUAAAUGAUGCUAACCGGUUUUAAUGUGAGUUGUAAAAGAAUACAUAAAUGAUGCGAGUUGUAAAAGAAUACAUAAAUGAUGCUACCCGGUGAUAAUGUGACUUGUAAAAGAAUACAUAAAUGAUGCUACCCGUUGAUAAUGUGAGUUGUGAGAGAAUGCAUAAAUUAUGCUACCCGGUGAUGAUGUGAGUUGUAAAAGAAUACAUAAAUGACGCUACCCGGUGAUAAUGUGAGUUGUGAGAGAAUGCAUAAAUUAUGCUACCCGGUGAUGAUGUGAGUUGUAAAAGAAUACAUAAAUGAUGCUACCCGAUGAUAAUGUGAGUUGUAAAAGAAUAGAUAAAUGAUGCUACCCGGUGAUAAUGUGAGUUGUAAAAGAAUACAUAAAUGAUGCUACCCGGUGAUAAUGAUAGAUGAGGAAAAGAUUCAGGUUGCUACCCAGAGAUCAUGUGAGAGUUGUGAGAGAAUGCAUUAAUGAUGCUACCCGGUGAUAAUAUGAGAAUUGAAAUAAUACAUAAGUGAUGCUACCCGUUGAUAAAUAUAAUAUAUCACGAAAUGUUAUACUGUUCUGUGCUAAACUAUGCUCAUCCAAUAGGAUGAAAAUGUAAAUAAUCUAUGUGGAUGAAUAUCCCGGUGAAUUUAAUUAACAUCCCUAGUCCUAUCGGGCCAAGGAUGUCUAAUAAACUGUGUAUAAAUGUGUUUAAAUGGACCAAUUUAUGUUCAGGAAAAUUUGACGUUUAACGGUUGUUAUUUUACAUGUAAAAUACAAUAAGAACAUAUUUUUAGGUCAAGCGAUAUAGUGAACGAUGUUUGACAUCAAAUCUGUUAUUUGUUUUAAGUAUAUUCCUUAUCAUUCUAACUACACAUUCAUUCUUAUUAUAACUAACUAUAUAUAUAUCUUACCAGUAUCUGUGAUUGUAAAUAACUCACACGAGUUCUGUCUAUUUUGUUUAAUCAUUCCAAUCUCUCGCUCUUGAUACCCUAGAUAAGAAAUUUGUAAAUAUAUAAUACAUCGCUGUCUAGAAACGUAAUCUACCACGAUAGACCGCGAAAAAUUAUUCAGUGGUUUACAAUGUUAGUCACUGUACAUAAGUGUAACAAGAACGUGAUAACCUUAAUAUGAACUAGUUUGUAGCAUUAACUUUAAUCAAUGAUUGAUUUCGUGUCUCUGGUAAAUUGAGUUCACAUUGAAGAAAACUAUUUUGUGGCGUCAGAGCCCUGAAUGAAUCGUAUUGUGUCUACUCUGCUACAAAUACAAUUGUAAAUACCUAGGAUUUCUUAUAGCUUUUAGUAUAACAAAAUUACUUGACAAUGACUUUUAAGAGGCAAAAAGAUAAUAUGACAUCAUGUUAUGAAACAAACAAAAACGUAGCAGAGACUCUAUCUACCUGUUUUUGUACUAUAUUUCAUUGUUAGAAAAAUGUAAAUAUGUAUUAGUUUGUAAAGCGUUUAACUUUGUAUGGUAGUUGUAAAACAAAUUGUAGAUGGACGGUAAUUUAGAAAUUUUACAUAAAAAUUGAAAACCUUUCUUCAAAUUAAACCAUAGUACUUUGGCGUUUACUUUUAUUUUAAACCAUUCAAAAAAUGAUUUGAAGGAAAAUCACCGUUGAAACAUACAAAAACAAAAUAAUUAUAAAUUUCUUCAAAUCCAUUUUUCGUCAUUUUAAUUUGAUGCUAAAUUUCUACCUAAAUCAUGUACAAGGUUAUUUAUUUAAAGAAAGGUUUAUGAUGUUCAGUAAAUGAACAAAUCCGCGGAUUCUGAACCAGUGCCAUAUUUUGAAUUAUAUAUUUAAUCAACCAUGUAUAAAUGUUGUUUCACAAACAAUGUAUGUAAUCAUGAGUCAUGAAUCCUAAUUAAGAUGUAUAUAUACCUGUAUAUAUGUACUUCAUACUUUGACUUCUGUAUGAAUAGAUGCAUAAUAAAAUAAAAUAAAAUAAAACAUUUACAGGAUAACCUGAACAAUUUGAUCAAAAUGUAAUAUUUUGGUUUUGUAAAAACAUAUUAGAAUAAAUGCAACUAUGCAAAAACUAACACUGUAUAAAAUACGUGAUCUAGAUUACUAAAACAUUGUUAAAUAUGCAAAGUGCAGAGAAUUCAAAUUAUUGCAUAUUUUGCAACGCAAAUAUAGUUUUUUUCAAGCAUCUAUACUAUAUAAUGUUUAAAGAGUUGAAAUUUUGUAGAAAAUCGAUAUGGUAAUUUUUCAUUAUCUUUGUAUUUAAAGUUUCAUUUCAUAUCAUAAUGAGUUUGGAUUAUGAUGAACGAAACAAUUAAUUUUUGUCAUGACCUGUCGAUAGAAAUUGUCGUUUUCUUUUAAAAAGAUAAAGAACACUUCAAUGUUGAACGUUUCGUUCUAAAAUCAAAAGCAUAAUGUGACUAAUGUCAGUCAAUAAAAUAAUCAAAAUUGA